RNAcentral lists this ribosomal RNA (253 nucleotides) under uncultured bacterium. RNAcentral's name for it is "partial 16S ribosomal RNA". It matches the Rfam family "Bacterial small subunit ribosomal RNA", at positions 524 to 776 of the family's 1533-position model. The record is from RNAcentral.
UACGUAGGGCGCGAGCGUUGUCCGGAAUUAUUGGGCGUAAAGAGCUCGUAGGCGGCCGGUUGCGUCUGCUGUGAAAUCCCGGGGCUUAACCCCGGGCGUGCAGUGGAUACUGGCCGGCUGGAGGCAGGCAGGGGAGAAUGGAAUUCCCGGUGUAGCGGUGAAAUGCGCAGAUAUCGGGAGGAACACCGGUGGCGAAGGCGGUUCUCUGGGCCUGUACUGACGCUGAGGAGCGAAAGCGUGGGGAGCGAACAGG